CUCGCCUGAAAGCACAAAAAAAAAAAGAAAAAACGCCACUCAGUUGGUUGUCGCGAUGCAAUAUCUUGAGAGGUGCGCUGGCUGCAAAGAACACAGCAGGAACUGUCAGUCAUGUCAAAAGGCACAGGCCACGUGUAGAUGAAUCAAACAGCGUAGAUGCCAACACUGUGCAGACUUGGGGCAAAUUCCUGAGCGCGAUUUUCGGUCCAGUGUAAUGCGCCAAAAUAAGGCAGGGAAGACGAAAGGGAGGAAGAAGAAAACAAGCGUUCCGAGCAACGCAUGUGCCAAGUGGGUCAUUAGCUUGCUGCCGACACUCAGGAUGACAUCUCGCCUCUCUGGCUGGCUGGUUCAACUGACUAUUAGAAACGCUCCACUCCGAAAUAAGCAGUCAACGCUGACCUAAAGGCCAUCAUACACGGUCCUAAUUCAGAAUCUGUUUGGCUGACUACCUUCAUGCCACAGCACCGUCGGUCCUAAUGCAGUCACCCUUCAAGCCAGUUGGCAUCUGGCCUUGGAAGGUGCCCACAAGUAUACGUCAUGACGGACACUCCCGCUUGUGUGCGUGCAUGCGCUACCUUGUUGCUUGCGGAGUCGCUCCAGUUCCUUCAUGAGGUACUCCUUCUUUUUCAUGCGCUGCUCUCGCUCCUGUCUCAGGUUCUCCCGCUCCUCCAGAACCUGAAAACCAGGUCAUCGGCAAGACUCUUGGCGAUGGCAAGGGGAGAAAGCGCACCAACCUUCUGCUUCUGGCUUUCGUUGUUCUCCUGCUCUGACACCUGACAGAAAGCCGGUCCCGCUCCCUUCCCGGAGAUCCAAGGAGUCUUGACGGCACCUGAGCAACAAACCAAGGUUUAUGAGGGAAUAAGAAGUUCGGACCUGUCGUGCUGACGCGGAGUCGUGGAGCUGGUCAGCUCGUUGCCCACCGUGAUGACGAGUUUGUGGUCAACGGGAAGACGAUGGCAAGGAGACGGCGACAUCUGCAAACAAGUUUGUCAUCGCGUCCAAUAAACUAUUUUCAUUGAA
This is a long non-coding RNA of Syngnathus typhle (broad-nosed pipefish), 1020 nucleotides long. RefSeq lists it as uncharacterized. The record is from RefSeq and is a predicted model, not a curated record. The transcript has 2 exons. Lineage: Eukaryota; Metazoa; Chordata; Actinopteri; Syngnathiformes; Syngnathidae.